Molecule: RNase P RNA, 379 nt
Filed under: Ignavibacteria bacterium
Lineage: Bacteria; Pseudomonadati; Ignavibacteriota; Ignavibacteria
Description: RNase P RNA component class A
Rfam family: Bacterial RNase P class A
About the family: Ribonuclease P (RNase P) is a ubiquitous endoribonuclease, found in archaea, bacteria and eukarya as well as chloroplasts and mitochondria. Its best characterised activity is the generation of mature 5'-ends of tRNAs by cleaving the 5'-leader elements of precursor-tRNAs.
Source: RNAcentral
AGGAAAGCUCAAGCAGCCGCUUUCAAUGUAACAGUUGGGAGAGGAAAGUCCGGACACUCAAGGGCAAUGCACCGUGUGAAAGCGCGGGUGCAGCGGGGCAAACCCGCUGUAACGGAUCAGUAUCACAGAAAACAAACUACCAUUCGGGGCAACCCGAUUGGAAAAGGUGAAAAGGCGGUGUAAGAGACCACCGUGCAUUCAGUAAUGAAUGCUGCAAGAUAAACCCUGCAUGAGUGCAAGGCCGCGUAAAGUAUCACUUUCGGGCUGCCCGUCUGAAUCUGCCAAGGCAGUGUGAUACAGGGUAGGCUGCACAAGAUAAAUGGCUGCCCAUGCCCCGCAAGGGGCGGGAACAGGAUCCGGCUUAUGAGCUUUCCGUUUU